UGUGUCGACGGACAGACACGCCCUUCAGGGAAGAGGGGAAUGGACAUCGCAGGACGCGAUUCAUCAGGACGAUGAAAAGGAAUACAGGGAAUAGGGAAAAAAUGUGGGCGGGUCAAACCGCCCCUUUUUUU
Molecule: small RNA, 131 nt
Filed under: Pseudomonas sp. LAMO17WK12:I5
Lineage: Bacteria; Pseudomonadati; Pseudomonadota; Gammaproteobacteria; Pseudomonadales; Pseudomonadaceae
Also listed under: 1 other name
Source: RNAcentral